ACUGCAGAAGACAGUGGGGCCAGUAGACCACUAGCAAGGAGAUCCCAGUCCUGCCUUAAACGGUCUCCAGCCAGGAUUUAAUGAGGCAUGAAUUUGCAUGGCAUAGUAGAUUUUUUCUAACAGGAUCGGGGAUUGGUGUUACAUAUUAGGAACUGACCCUGAACAUGAUGUUCAAAGUCAUUAAACGCUCUUGGAAGCAGAAGCAAUGACUUUAUCUUCGGGGCUGAACAUCCUCAGUUGGAAUCCCUUGAAACUCUGGGCCAGUGAUGUUGGCUUAAUGCCAGAAAGACCAGGCACUAACAUAUUUUGAAUAUGAUGUCACAAAGUACAGGAAAUGAUUAUCACCGGGCAGAUAAAAGGAAAAUAUCUUAAAAGAGAAUAUAAACUUCUUAACCUACUCUAGAGGCAUCACGGUGAAAAUUUCUGUGCACCAGAGAAAGAAAACUCGGUAAUGUGUGUAAGGAGUGCUUUGCAUAUGUGUGAGGUUAGAGAAAAAGCCACACCUGGAUUGCAAAUGUAUUGGCUCCAUCUAUGAGUGUUCUUCUACCAAUCCUGAAACAAGAAAAUUAUUAUUUUUGUGUUUCCAGCGUGAUAGUGUCAGUUAACAUGUAUUCAGAUGUUGCUAUAUGCCAAUGCCACAUGCAUCAGCCCAUUUAAUCCUCUCUGUUACCUUAUGAAGCAGAGGAAGCUCAAAGAGCUUAAGCAAAGAGUUGGUUAAAUCCCUCUCCUAGAACCCAAAGGUGGUGUGGGCUAAACUAAGAUUAAAUCAUACAGCCUGAACCCAGA
Long non-coding RNA from Neofelis nebulosa (Clouded leopard), 786 nucleotides. RefSeq lists it as uncharacterized. NCBI's taxonomy places the organism in Eukaryota, Metazoa, Chordata, Mammalia, Carnivora, Felidae. The transcript is spliced from 3 exons. The record is from RefSeq and is a predicted model, not a curated record.